AUUCCCAUUGAUCCUGUGGGAGAUUGCUGCUAUUGGGAUUCUAUUAAGCCAUGCAAGUCAAGGGGCUUCUUUGAAGCACCGGCAUAAGGCUCAGUAACACGUCGAUAAUUUGCCCUUAGGUUGAGGACAGCUUCGGGAAACUGAAGGUAAACCUCAAUAGAAGAUUAUAACUGGAAUGUAUUUUCUUUUAAACGCAAGGCCUAAGGAUAAGUUGGCGGCUGAUUAGGUAGUUGGCGAGGUAAAGGCUCACCAAGCCAUUGAUCAGUAGGGGGGAUGAAAGUCCUAGCCCCGAGAAGGGCACUGAGAUACUGGCCCUAGCCCUAAGGGGUGCAGCAGGCGAGAAACCUUUACAAUGCACGCAAGUGUGAUAGGGGAAUCCCAAGUGUUCUACUUCGGUAGAACUUUUGCCAAAUGUAAAAAGUUUGGCGAAUAAGUGGUGGGCAAGACGGGUGCCAGCCGCCGCGGUAACACCUGCGCCACAAGUGGCAAUCACGUUUAUUGGGCCUAAAGCGUACGUAGCCGGUUUAAAAAGUCUUCUGUGAAACUGUAAGGCUUAACCUUACAACGUGCGGAAGAUACUAUUAGACUUGAGACUGGGAGGAGGUAGAAGUAUUUUGGGGGGAGCGGUAAAAUGUAAUAAUCCCCAAAGGACUACCUGUGGCGAAGGCGUCUAUCUAGAACAGUUCUGACGGUGAGGUACGAAGGCCAGGGGAGCAAAACGGAUUAGAUACCCGAGUAGUCCUGGCAGUAAACGCUGCGAACUAUGUGUUGCAUACUUUUAGAAAUAUGCAGUGCCUAAGCGAAGGUGUUAAGUUCGCCGCCUGGGAAGUACGGCCGCAAGACUGAAACUUAAAGGAAUUGGCGGGGGCUCGCUACAAGGAGUGAGGCGUGCGGUUUAAUUGGAUUCUACACCGGAAAUCUCACCAGGAGCGACGGCAGAAUGAAGGUCAGAUUGAAGGUUUUACCUGACAAGCCGAGAGGUGGUGCAUGGCCGACGUCAGCUCGUGCCGUGAGGUGUCACGUUAAGUCGUGCAACGAGCAAGACCCAUAUCUACAAUUACCAACAGAUUCUAAGGAAUGACUGGGUACAAUGUAGAGACUGCUUGCGUAAGUAAGAGGAAGGUGUGGGCAACGUUAGGUCAGUAUGCCCCGAAUCUCCUGGGCUACACGCGCGCAACAAUGGUAAGGACAAUAGGAUGCAACUCCGAAAGGAGAAGCCAACCCCUUAAACCUUAUCCUAGUUCAGAUUGAGGGUUGUAACUCACCCUCAUGAUGUCGGAAUUCCUAGUAAUCGGAUCUCAACAAGGUCCGGUGAAUACGUCAACUAGCCUUGCACACACUGCCCAUCAUCCCAGCCGAGCAGGGUUUAGGUGAGAGGUAAUUCUCUUGAUUACACCGAACCUAAAUUCAGCAAGGAAGGGCAAGUUGUCACAAGGUAUCCGUAGGGGAACCUGCGGAUGGAUCACCUCCU
RNAcentral lists this ribosomal RNA (1471 nucleotides) under Candidatus Woesearchaeota archaeon. RNAcentral describes it as "bacterial SSU rRNA". It matches the Rfam family "Archaeal small subunit ribosomal RNA". Lineage: Archaea; Nanobdellati; Candidatus Woesearchaeota. The record is from RNAcentral.